UCAUCCCUGACAGGGUCCUUCGUCAC
This 26-nucleotide non-coding RNA is filed under the name Rattus norvegicus (Norway rat). Lineage: Eukaryota; Metazoa; Chordata; Mammalia; Rodentia; Muridae. The record is from RNAcentral.